Molecule: transfer RNA, 92 nt
Filed under: Flavobacteriales bacterium
Lineage: Bacteria; Pseudomonadati; Bacteroidota; Flavobacteriia; Flavobacteriales
Description: tRNA-Ser
Rfam family: tRNA
About the family: Transfer RNA (tRNA) molecules are approximately 80 nucleotides in length.
Source: RNAcentral
GGAGAGGUGCCAGAGUGGUCGAAUGGGUCUGUCUCGAAAACAGAAGUACUCGCAAGGGUACCGGGGGUUCGGAAUCCCCUCCCUCUCCGCCA